Long non-coding RNA from Bos taurus (domestic cattle), 725 nucleotides. The record is from Ensembl. Lineage: Eukaryota; Metazoa; Chordata; Mammalia; Artiodactyla; Bovidae.
AGGUUUUCUCCGAGCAACCUUAAGUGAGAAGCAGAUAUUUGACAGUUCCUGGGGUAGCUCAGAGAAUUAACAUUUGUGCGUGCUCAGUCUCUCAGUCAUGUCCGACUCUUGGCGCCCUCAUAGACUGUAGCUCACCAGGGUCUUCUGUCCAUGGAAUUCUCCAGGCAAGAAUAGUGGAGUGGGUUGCCAUUUCCUCCUCCAGGGGAUCUUCCCAACCCAGGGAUCAACUCCAUGUCUCCUGCAUUGGCAGGCAGAUUCUUUACCCCUGAGCCACCUGGGAAGGCCAGAGAAUUAACACAGCAGCCCAACAACCCACUCCAGUUGCCCACACAGAGGCCAGUGCGGGUGGUGUCAUUGAACUGCAGUUUUCUGUCAUUUGUCAUUGCUGUUCCUGCUCCAGUGACAUCCAGGCUUGCUCCACUGUCAAGUUUCAGGUUCCCCAAGGAGAAUCUGCUUCCAGUGAAGUGUGAGAGCAACCAGCCACAGUGCUUUCAACGCUCAAAAUGACAGAAGUUCUGCAGUGCGCCUCCUGCCUCCGGAGUGCUUCUCGGCCCCUCAGCUCAAUCAGAGCCCAGCCUUGGGGGCCGUGUCUGCCCCGGGCUGUGCCUGUAUCAUCUGUGUCCCCUCCCCGGACCUGCUCUCCCCCAGACCUGCCCACCCCAGCUGGCACCUCCAGCUUCCUUCCAGUGAGAACCUGGAGCCCAGAUCAUCCCUCAGGGUGGCUU